This 774-nucleotide ribosomal RNA is filed under the name uncultured Neocallimastigales. RNAcentral's name for it is "partial large subunit ribosomal RNA". It matches the Rfam family "Eukaryotic large subunit ribosomal RNA", at positions 23 to 644 of the family's 3401-position model. The record is from RNAcentral. Lineage: Eukaryota; Fungi; Neocallimastigomycota; Neocallimastigomycetes; Neocallimastigales.
ACACGCAUGACACACUGCAUAUCAAUAAGCGGAGGAAAAGAAACUAACAAGGAUUCCCUUAGUAACGGCGAGUGAAGCGGGAAGAGCUCAAAUUUGAAAUCUUCAAGGUUUUACCUUGACGAAUUGUAGUUUAAAGAAGUGUUUUCUGUUGAAGUUUUGGUAAAAGUUCUUUGGAAUAGGACAUCAUAGAGGGUGAGAAUCCCGUAUUUGACCAUUAUUUUCAGCUGUGUGAUACACUUUCAAAGAGUCGGAUUGUUCGGGAAUGCAGUCCAAAAUGGGUGGUAAAUUUCAUCUAAAGCUAAAUAUUGGCGAGAGACCGAUAGCGAACAAGUACCGUGAGGGAAAGAUGAAAAGAACUUUGAAAAGAGAGUUAAACAGUACGUGAAAUUGUCAAAAGGGAAGCGUUUGACACCAGUGUUGUUUUUCCGAAAAUCAAUUACGAAUGUUUUGUUUUUGAGGAGUUAUGACUUCAUCGGCUUGCUCCUUUCUUUAUGAGACUUUCUUAAUGCACUUUUCGGUUAACAAGUCAACAUCAAUUUCUUUUGUUGUAAAAGGGUAUGAGGAAGGUGGCUUUCUUUUCGGAGAAAGUGUUUAUAGCCUUGUGCCUCUGCAAUCGGAGAGAUUGAGGUCUGCAGCGUAGAUCCUUCGGAGUUAGAUACGUUUGUGCUAAGUUAUAGCUUUUCAUAGACAACUUGUUGACUAUGUUUAGUCUUGUAGCUUACUCGCAGACGCUAUUUUACCUACGCUUAGGAUGUUGAACUACUGAGACAUAGA